AUACGUAGGGGGCAAGCGUUGUCCGGAAUUACUGGGCGUAAAGGGCACGCAGGCGGUCCGGUCGGUCAGGAGUGAAAGUUUGCAGCUUAACUGUAAAGGUGCUUUUGAUACUGCCGGACUUGAGUCUCGGAGAGGUAAGCGGAAUUCCUAGUGUAGUAGUGAAAUGCGUAGAGAUUAGGAAGAACACCGGCGGCGAAGGCGGUUUACUGGAAGAGUACUGACGCUCAGGUGCGAAAGCGUGGGGAGCAAACAGGAUUAGAUACCCUGGUAUUCCACGCCGUAAACGAUGGAUACUAGGUGUUGGGGAAACUCAGUGCCGCAGUUAACACAAUAAGUAUCCCGCCUGGGGAGUACGCACGCAAGUGUGAAACUCAAAUGAAUUGACGGGG
This 389-nucleotide ribosomal RNA is filed under the name uncultured bacterium. RNAcentral describes it as "partial 16S ribosomal RNA". It matches the Rfam family "Bacterial small subunit ribosomal RNA", at positions 523 to 918 of the family's 1533-position model. The record is from RNAcentral.